UUGGAGGGCAAGUCUGGUGCCAGCAGCCGCGGUAAUUCCAGCUCCAAUAGCGUAUAUUAAAGUUGUUGCAGUUAAAAAGCUCGUAGUUGAAUUUCGGGAUCAGCAAGUUGGUCGUGCCUCUGGUACGUACUGGCUUUACUGGUUCCUCCUUCUUGAAGAACUGUAAUGUCAUUAAUUUGGUGUUGCAGGGAAACAGGACUGUUACUUUGAAAAAAUUAGAGUGUUUAAAGCAAGCUAACGCUUGAAUACAUUAGCAUGGAAUAAUGAAAUAGGACGUUUGAUCCUAUUUCGUUGGUUUCUAGGAUCGACGUAAUGAUUAAUAGGGAUAGUUGGGGGCAUUAGUAUUCAAUUGUCAGAGGUGAAAUUUUUGGAUUUAUUGAAGACUAACUACUGCGAAAGCAUUUGCCAAGGAUGUUUUCAUUAAUCAAGAACGAAAGUUAGGGGAUCGAAGACGAUCAGAUACCGUCGUAGUCUUAACCAUAAACUAUGCCGACUAGGGAUCGGAUGAUGUUAAUUUUUUAAUGACUCAUUCGGCGCCUUACGGGAAAC
Molecule: ribosomal RNA, 549 nt
Filed under: uncultured Glomeromycotina
Lineage: Eukaryota; Fungi; Glomeromycota
Description: SSU rRNA
Rfam family: Eukaryotic small subunit ribosomal RNA
Source: RNAcentral